GCCUGAUUCAUGAGGCAUGCCUGUUUUGCCUCCAUAGUAUUCAUUGAAAAUGGCACGGUUCCAGUAGAAGAAACAGAAAGUAAAAAUGAACCUUAACUCCAGCUUCUGUGAUCAGCGAUAGGAAUGAACAGCGUGGCUGGCGUUCAUGUCUCCGCACAGAUGCCCCUUAAGCUCCCUGGGACUGUUGACAAGAGCACUCACAAUGGUUAAACUGCCACAGCUGACUGAAGCCCGUGAGGACAGUCCAACACGUCAGCCUUAGGACUCAGAAGGACAGGUGGCUCAAACAGGUUUUCAGGAGUCUCCCUCCUGCCCGAGAGGAGGUAAGUGACGGCACAAACCUCCCUACCUGCGGAGACUGACACCCUUGAGCUACCUAAACCUCCCACCAUGGGUCAAGUUCAAUACAGAAAU
Molecule: long non-coding RNA, 414 nt
Filed under: Mus spicilegus (steppe mouse)
Lineage: Eukaryota; Metazoa; Chordata; Mammalia; Rodentia; Muridae
Description: lncRNA (ENSMSIG00000030287.1)
Source: RNAcentral